CAUACCCUAUUCAAGGGAUAGGGUCGGUUCGGCCGGAUUUUACACAAGUGUUGCAUGGCUGUCGUCAGCUCGUGUCGUGAGAUGUUGGGUUAAGUCCCGCAACGAGCGCAACCCUCAUCCUUAGUUGCUAUCAGGUAAUGCUGAGUACUUUAAGGAAACUGCCAGUGAUAAGCUGGAGGAAGGUGGGGAUGAUGUCAAGUCAUCAUGGCCUUUAUGGAGUGGGCUACACACGUGCUACAAUGGUGUCUACAAUGGGCUGCAAGGUGCGCAAGCCUAAGCUAAUCCCUAAAAGACAUCUCAGUUCGGAUUGUACUCUGCAACUCGAGUACAUGAAGUUGGAAUCGCUAGUAAUCGUGGAUCAGCAUGCCACGGUGAAUACGUUCUCGGGUCUUGUACACACGUGCCCGUCACGCCAUGGGAAUUGGUUCCGUCGCGAGGCU
This 440-nucleotide ribosomal RNA is filed under the name Wolbachia endosymbiont of Trioza erytreae. Its description in RNAcentral is "bacterial SSU rRNA". It matches the Rfam family "Bacterial small subunit ribosomal RNA", at positions 991 to 1429 of the family's 1533-position model. Lineage: Bacteria; Pseudomonadati; Pseudomonadota; Alphaproteobacteria; Rickettsiales; Anaplasmataceae. The record is from RNAcentral.